This 761-nucleotide ribosomal RNA is filed under the name Titanidiops canariensis. Its description in RNAcentral is "eukaryotic LSU rRNA". The stretch from base 337 to 761 matches the Rfam family "Eukaryotic large subunit ribosomal RNA", at positions 1 to 920 of the family's 3401-position model. The record is from RNAcentral. Lineage: Eukaryota; Metazoa; Arthropoda; Arachnida; Araneae; Idiopidae.
GUGGGCCCUCGAAAUCCGUCGGCGGGGGAUUCAGUCGGGAAGCGUGGGCGCGAGCGCCGGUCGAUCCUUCGGACCCUUGAAUUGGGCCGGGCCGGUGCCGCAGUCUCCUCGCGACCCGACGCACUUCCUCCCGCCCCGUGGACGCCGCAGCCGGUUGGGUAGCUGCGCGAGUCGGCCAUAAGGACUUGCAACGGAAGGUGGCCAGUGGCGUUCCUCGUGUUCGUCGCUGGUCGUUAUCCAGCUCGUCCGUGGCGCGACACCCGACCGAGGUCUAUGGGUCCCAGUUAGGACCUUGCCGUCCCCUCCCUACCGUGGUAGAGCGGGCGCGCCGGCAGGCGAUCUUUCGUACGGUCGUCCCACUUUCCAAGUGGACGGUCUGCGCGAGGCGCUGUUGGUUGAAUGCGUCCCGCGUGGGGAGUCAACGGCUCGCGGCGAGUAGGUCGGUCACCCACCCGACCCGUCUUGAAACACGGACCAAGGAGUCUAACAUGUGCGCGAGUCACGGGAUCUUGUUUAGGCCCAGAGGCGCAAUGAAAGUGAAGGCAGGCCUCGACGCCUGUCGUGUUGGGACUCUCCGCGCCUCGCGCGGGGAAGCACCAACGACCCGCCCUGUCCGAUUCAUCGGUUGGGCGGAGUGUGAGCGCACACGUUGGGACCCGAAAGAUGGUGAACUAUGCCUGGGCAGGACGAAGCCAGAGGAAACUCUGGUGGAGGUCCGUAGCGGUUCUGACGUGCAAAUCGAUCGUCAGACCUGGGUAUAG